RNAcentral lists this ribosomal RNA (799 nucleotides) under uncultured Glomus. Its description in RNAcentral is "SSU rRNA". It matches the Rfam family "Eukaryotic small subunit ribosomal RNA", at positions 314 to 1114 of the family's 1831-position model. The record is from RNAcentral. Lineage: Eukaryota; Fungi; Glomeromycota; Glomeromycetes; Glomerales; Glomeraceae.
AUCAACUUUCGAUGGUAGGAUAGAGGCCUACCAUGGUGGUAACGGGUAACGGGGUGUUAGGGCACGACACCGGAGAGGGAGCCUGAGAAACGGCUACCACAUCCAAGGAUGGCAGCAGGCGCGCAAAUUACCCAAUCCCGACACGGGGAGGUAGUGACAAUAAAUAACAAUACGGGGUUCUUUCGGAUCUCGUAAUUGGAAUGAGUACAAUUUAAAUCUCUUAACGAGGAACAAUUGGAGGGCAAGUCUGGUGCCAGCAGCCGCGGUAAUUCCAGCUCCAAUAGCGUAUAUUAAAGUUGUUGCAGUUAAAAAGCUCGUAGUUGAAUUUCGGGGUUAGUAGGUUGGUCAUGCCUCUGGUAUGUACUGGUCUCACUGAUUCCUCCUUCCUGAUGAACCGUAAUGCCAUUAAUUUGGUGUUGCGGGGAAUUUGGACUGUUACUUUGAAAAAAUUAGAGUGUUUAAAGCAAGCUAACGCUUGAAUACAUUAGCAUGGAAUAAUGAAAUAGGACGUUCGAUCCUAUUUUGUUGGUUUCUAGGAUUGACGUAAUGAUUAAUAGGGAUAGUUGGGGGCAUUAGUAUUCAAUUGUCAGAGGUGAAAUUCUUGGAUUUAUUGAAGACUAACUACUGCGAAAGCAUUUGCCAAGGAUGUUUUCAUUAAUCAAGAACGAAAGUUAGGGGAUCGAAGACGAUCAGAUACCGUCGUAGCCUUAACCAUAAACUAUGCCGACUAGGAAUCAGACGAUGUUAAUUUUUUAAUGACUCGUUUGGCACCUUACGGGAAACCAAAGUGUUUGGGUUC